UCUUAACAGAGUUUUAAAGCUUGUUGUUACACAAAUGCAAUUCCCACUGCCAAGAGUAAGCUAAUAUAUUCUUGGCAUGCUUGGUAAGUCUUAAAUCAGAGACAGUGGGUACGUUCUGCUUGACGUCCAGAGGAAGAAAACUUCACUUGGAUAGCUGCAUGUGGUUUUGUGUGCUGCUGUCUCAUGUCUCAUAGAAGAGCAAGAGUGGCUAGACAACAUGUGAAGAAGCACUACUCUAGAUUACCUCAGAUGGCAACUAUGUGCCCUGAACUGCUGUGAGGGUAUUUCUGGGGUCAUCAGCCAUCCCAUGGGGAAAUGAGUCAGCAAAAGCGUAAGUGAUUUCAACACUUCUGUUAUAAAUUCCAUAGAUUAGUAAUAUGAACUUUACAAAAGUUUUGCUAAUUUGGGACCUGUGAGACUUUCCACUGAGUAACUUUAGCUUUAAAAAGGUAUACACAGCACCAUGAUAUUUGCAUUAAAGUGUUAGGGAUUGAAGCAGGAACAAGAUUUUACUUUGCUGUUGUAUGGCUGCACUUGAAAACAAUUCCUGCCUUAGGUUAAACCUUAGCCAAGGCAAGACACAACU
RNAcentral lists this long non-coding RNA (586 nucleotides) under Anas platyrhynchos platyrhynchos (common mallard). RNAcentral's name for it is "lncRNA (ENSAPLG00000029982.1)". Lineage: Eukaryota; Metazoa; Chordata; Aves; Anseriformes; Anatidae. The record is from RNAcentral.